Molecule: long non-coding RNA, 879 nt
Organism: Aethina tumida (small hive beetle)
Lineage: Eukaryota; Metazoa; Arthropoda; Insecta; Coleoptera; Nitidulidae
Exons: 2
Source: RefSeq, a predicted model, not a curated record
UAUUAGUAUAAAGCCUCAUUGUACAUCUUAUUUCUGAACACAUGUAUCCAUUGGCCUGUAGUGUUUUUAAUAAGAGUUCUUGUUCUUCAGCGAUGUGGUCUGUGGCACAUAUCCGUUUGGCUCCUUCUGACAGUAUUAUUGUUUUUGACUAGGAUGAUGGUUAGAUAGUUUAUGUAGAUACCGAUCGGUGUGCGUAGGUUUUUGGUAUACUGUUUGGUCUAAAUGUUCGCCCACCCUUCUUACUAGGACAUCCAAAAAAGGUAUUUGGUCCUCCUUCUCCAAUUCCAUUGUGAGUUUAGGUGUUUUAUAAACUGAUCUAGUAGAACUGUUGUCCAUGUUUCCAUGUCAAGUAUCUUUCACAUAACGGUACUAAACAGAAGCUUUUUAUUCCAACUUUUCCACAAAGAAAUGGCGUUCCUUGGACUAAGAGGACUUCCCAUUGCUAAUCCUUCAGUUUGUCCGCAGAAUUUGUUGUUACAAACGAAAUAGUUUUCAGUUUGUGUUUGUUAUUUCGUUUCUGUGAAUUUUUAUUAAAAUUUUAUAAUUAUAAAUUUUAUGAUUACUUUCUUCUUCUAAUUUAAAAAUUUUCAGUAACAUUUUUUAUUAAUAUUGUGAAUUCUUAACAAGAUAUUUGUGGAUGUAACUUUAACCUACGGAAGGAUCAUUAUCGUGUUCACACAUAAACGAACGUCUGUACGUCUGUGGGUGUCGGGAGCAUAAUUGAUUAGAUACCACAACGUUUAGUGAAAACUUAGUUUUUACUGCUCGUUGAUUGUUGAACUAUACAAUAGUAAUGUAAUAAUUAAAACUAAUAAUAAACUAUUUAUUUAGUUACUGAACCAUGUCAUAAAUAGAAUAAAUAUAAAUAAUUUAAAGAAA